AUAUCUUAAGGCCCUUGCCUUCUUAAUAUCUUCAAUAUUAUACUUUAAAAUAAGCUAUUAAGAUA
RNAcentral lists this transfer RNA (65 nucleotides) under Cautires sp. UPOL 000355. RNAcentral describes it as "tRNA-Phe". Lineage: Eukaryota; Metazoa; Arthropoda; Insecta; Coleoptera; Lycidae. The record is from RNAcentral.